UGAGGAAUAUUGCGCAAUGGGCGAAAGCCUGACGCAGCAACGCCGCGUGGAGGAUGAAGGCUUUCGGGUUGUAAACUCCUUUCAGGGGGGACGAAGUAGUUGGGUAACCAAUUGGACGGUACCUCCAGAAGAAGCCACGGCUAACUCUGUGCCAGCAGCCGCGGUAAGACAGAGGUGGCGAGCGUUGUUCGGAUUUACUGGGCGUAAAGGGUGCGUAGGCGGUUGAAUAAGAUGUGCGAGAAAGCUCACGGCUUAACUGUGAAAGUUUGCACAUGACUAUUUGACUAGAGAAUGGGAGAGGAAAGCGGAAUUCCCGGUGGAGCGGUGAAAUGCGUAGAUAUCGGGAGGAAGGCCUGUGGCGAAGGCGGCUUUCUGGAACAUUUCUGACGCUGAAGUACGAGAGCGUGGGGAGCAAACAGG
RNAcentral lists this ribosomal RNA (420 nucleotides) under uncultured bacterium. Its description in RNAcentral is "bacterial SSU rRNA". It matches the Rfam family "Bacterial small subunit ribosomal RNA", at positions 355 to 776 of the family's 1533-position model. The record is from RNAcentral.